UUCACUAGAGACUGCCCACAAUUCACUCAAUAGGAGGCCAUCAACAGAUAACCUGAGAUGUUGGCUCACCUCUCAGCUGUCGAAUCCUUACGAGGAAGGAUUAUGGACCAGGUGAGAAGGAUGCUUGACUACCUUAAUCUUGUGGGCUAUGGCCUGUGGGCUGGUUUUGGCUGGGGUUCUACAGGUGGAACGGCUACAGCCUUCUGCUCAGUCUGCGAGGAGCCUUUGUUAUCUCCGCAGCGAGUUUUGGACUCUGACAGUUUUUGAAGAAGAAAAAAAGAGGCAAGGACAGUGGCUCUUUGUGUCUCUCAAAGGCAGCACUGUUUCUGUGGGCUGGCACAGCCCACGGACAACGUGCUGCCCUUCAUGCGGGAUUGUUUUACUGCCCCGACGCAUGGACUGCCCGGUGCCAGCCUUCAUGUAGGAGAGAAAGGCUGGAUGCCCCCUGCGAUGCCAGGACAACUCACAGAGCAGCAAAUGGAGAUCACUUUCUGAUGGUGACUGUCAACAAUCCCUCCUCAUCCUCUCUUCGAGUCCCUGGGGAGCAAGUUUCAGGGCGUGCUUCCUGUUACCUGACUCACUUCAGGCUCCUGUCGCCUAGAGGUCAAUGGUGGUCUUGACCUUAGAAGCAUUUUUGAAGACCAGCUCUGUGCCACCCACUGCACCGGGUGCUGAGAUACCAAGAGAAAACAUUCCAGUCUUCACAGAGCUUCUAGGAGCUCAGCAGCUAAAUAGAGAAACUGUCUCCGUGCGUGGGAUGAGUCCUGUUUUCUCUAUGAUUUCCUCCAAAAGAAAGAGCAAUAAAUAAAGCAAGGCAAACAUGAGCUGUGUCAACAGAGCAAAACACCUGCGGGACAACUCAAAGCUGACAAAGACUCAUGCAACUUUUUAAUGGCUUGUCCUCAAUCCAGCAGUAAGAUUUUCCUGACAGUAACUCUCUCCCUGCCAAAGAGAGCAGGACCCUUGAAUCUGAUGGAGAAAUUGACUAUAAGACUGUACUGUGGUUUCUGGGGACGCUGGAAAAAAUUUG
Long non-coding RNA from Bos taurus (domestic cattle), 1030 nucleotides. The record is from Ensembl. Lineage: Eukaryota; Metazoa; Chordata; Mammalia; Artiodactyla; Bovidae.